This is a long non-coding RNA of Gallus gallus (chicken), 1599 nucleotides long. NCBI's taxonomy places the organism in Eukaryota, Metazoa, Chordata, Aves, Galliformes, Phasianidae. The record is from Ensembl.
GAAAAAUCCAGCAAUCAGACCUGUGCAGCCGGAAUGCUUCCACAGGAGAUGGCAGUGCACAGAAACAGCGCAUUAUCUAAAAACAGCCUCGCACAAUAUGUUUCUAUGGACAUCAGAAACCAAUCUUUGAAACGGUCCCCGAUGAGGGCCAUGCUGGCCCGAGCUGCAUUCUGAAAGUGUUCCAAUUCCUCCUUUGUAUCCGGCCUGUGUUUAUUGGAGAAAGAGCAUCUUCACGGAAGCUUGUAGCUGAUUCAUUAGCUCAGAAUGAAAGAGCUAUAAGAGGUGAAGCCAAUCAUUUGAUCGUAAAGCAUCGUCAAUGUGAAGGAAACUGCCUUUGAGCCCUCUGCCACCGCCCGUAUUGGGGGGAAUCAUGCAAACCACACCGAGCAGCUCUCAAGCCCAAGUUCAUCUGCCUUACAGUUGAGCUACACUCAUCAUGUACAUGGAGGGAAGGAGAAACACCAUUUGAUAUGUGUGUCUACAAACACUUAUCCCUGACAAGGCCGAGCAAAGUACAGAAGUAGCGUUCCACCUAACGUGCUGGGAUAUAUGAGUCUUCGAAAUGGUGAUCUCUAUCUCAAAAACCAUUUAACCGUCCUAUGAUAGUGCAGUUACUGUGGUUAUAAGGCUUUCCUUCCUAGAAUGAUAGAGCGCAGUAAAAUGUCUUAUAAAACAACACAGAAGUUAUUGCUUACCAGAUUCUGACUCUAGUAAAUUUAUCGUGCCGUAUCUUUCCACGAGUUCUUCAUUCUCUUCUCCUUUUCCAUGUGUGUAAUGAGUUCCACAAAACAGAUAGCAUUGCUUCCUUUUCAUUAAUAAGAGCCCUAGAUUUUGAGGGGUGCCUUUGAAGAAUGGCAUCCAACUUCUAAGAGUUUUAUUGUCAGAAGCUCAUUGGUAAACUGCACCAUUCUACAGAUUUUGUUUUGUUUUGCUUUUUUUUUCCCUUCCUUAAAAUGUUACUCCUUUAUCUUUAGAAACAUUUUUCCAGCCUUGCCCCACUUGGCAAGUUGUCUACAAUAAAAAGAUUUUUAUCUUAGACAAAACCCCGGUAGAAUGGCAAUGCCCUGAUUAAAAUUACUCAUGGAAAGUAACUCCAUCAAAUGCAUGAGAAAUGACCACUGGAUGCUGGCCAUGGACCAACUCAGUGAUGCAAAGCCACUUUAAAACACUCCUAUGUCUUCGCUUCCUUCUCCUCCAGAGAUCCACUGGGGUGACAGGCUGCCCUCCCUACCUAAGAUUGGAUAUAUUGAUCCAGAAACUGCUCUUAUCAACUAGAGCUGCAUUUGAGACUUUCUGGGCAUGUUAUUACUUCUGAGAAUUGCACAUUUGUCUCUCGAGCACUGUGUCCAGAACCCUUUGGCACACAGGGCAAACUCAGUGACCCCAAAUGUCUGAAGCAAAUAUCAGAACAUGAUCUAUAAUUAACAGAAAUGAAUUUUUAGCCACUUAAAUACCCAGAGUAUUUACACUUGACUCUGGAACUAAAAGUGAGAUUGUGACAUAUACCUCCCACAACUGUUAAUAAUUUUGCAUGUAAGUGCAAGGGUAAACUUUAACUCCGUCUGCACUGCUCCACGUUAAAAUGCUUUUAAAACAGUG